RNAcentral lists this ribosomal RNA (496 nucleotides) under uncultured bacterium. RNAcentral's name for it is "partial 16S ribosomal RNA". It matches the Rfam family "Bacterial small subunit ribosomal RNA", at positions 28 to 506 of the family's 1533-position model. The record is from RNAcentral.
GAUGAACGCUGGCGGCGUGCCUAAUACAUGCAAGUCGAGCGAACAGACGAGGUGCUUGCUCCUCCGACGUUAGCGGCGGACGGGUGAGUAACACGUGGAUAACCUACCUAUAAGACUGGGAUAACUUCGGGAAACCGGAGCUAAUACCGGAUAAUAUAUUGAACCGCACGGUUCAAUAGUGAAAGACGGUUUUGCUGUCACUUAUAGAUGGACCCGCGCCGCAUUAGCUAGUUGGUAAGGUAACGGCUUACCAAGGCGACGAUGCGUAGCCGACCUGAGAGGGUGCUCGGCCACGCGGCAGCUGAGACGCGCUCCAGACCCCUAAGGGAGGCAGCAGUAGGGAAUCUUCCGCAGGGGGCGAAAGCCUGCCGGAGCAACGCCGCGUGAGUGAUGAAGUUCUUCGGCUCGUAAAACUCUGUGAUUAGAGAAGAACAAAUGUGUAUGUAACGAUGCACGUCUGGACGGUACCUAAUCAGAAGGCCACGGCUACUUCCGG